RNAcentral lists this ribosomal RNA (507 nucleotides) under uncultured bacterium. RNAcentral's name for it is "partial 16S ribosomal RNA". It matches the Rfam family "Bacterial small subunit ribosomal RNA", at positions 28 to 507 of the family's 1533-position model. The record is from RNAcentral.
GACGAACGCUGGCGGCGUGCCUAAUACAUGCAAGUCGAACGCAUUUUCUUUCACCGUAGCUUGCUACACCGAAAGAAAAUGAGUGGCGAACGGGUGAGUAACACGUGGGUAACCUGCCCAUCAGCGGGGGAUAACACUUGGAAACAGGUGCUAAUACCGCAUAAUUCCAUUUACCGCAUGGUAAAUGGAUGAAAGGCGCUUUUGCGUCACUGAUGGAUGGACCCGCGGUGCAUUAGCUAGUUGGUGGGGUAACGGCCUACCAAGGCUGCGAUGCAUAGCCGACCUGAGAGGGUGAUCGGCCACACCGGGACUGAGACACGGCCCAGACUCCUACGGGAGGCAGCAGUAGGGAAUCUUCGGCAAUGGACGCAAGUCUGACCGAGCAACGCCGCGUGAGUGAAGAAGGUUUUCGGAUCGUAAAACUCUGUUGUUAGAGAAGAACAAGGAUGAGAGUGGAAAGUUCAUCCCUUGACGGUAUCUAACCAGAAAGCCACGGCUAACUACGUG